RNAcentral lists this long non-coding RNA (27061 nucleotides) under Citrus maxima (pomelo). Its description in RNAcentral is "long non-coding RNA (CMAX_LNC002005)". Lineage: Eukaryota; Viridiplantae; Streptophyta; Magnoliopsida; Sapindales; Rutaceae. The record is from RNAcentral.
CAAAAGAAAGCAGCAACUCAACUCUCUUUAAAGGCUAUGGAGGUUCUCUUGCGACCUCUCUUCAGCAUACCCUCCAGAACAUUAACCCCACCACCGCCAUCACCACCCCCACCAAUCAUCUCACUCUCAAAACUCUCCAUUUUUGCCUCCACUAAUUCCCACUCUCUCCAAAACCCUUCUUUCUGUUAGGGAAAAAUUAGGUUUUUAAAUUUUUAUAAAACCUUUUGAAGAUCGCUCUCAUAUAAUAUAUAAAAAUUUGUAUUCUAGAAAUCGUACCUUGAAAAACCGAGUUGACUUUUUCCGCUGAAGUGAUUUAGGCUCCUAGAUCACGAUCCGCCACCACCACUCCUGUUAGAUCACGAUCUGUCACCACCACGCUUGUUAGAUCACGAUAUGUCACCAAUGAUCUUCCAGGUUAUGACUCAGGUUCGAUCUGCACUUGACGUGUGGGCGCCUUUAUCACUACCAAAGCAACUAGCACGAGAAAAUUUUUCUCUCAACAAUAGAGAGAAAAAUCUUAUUCUCUGAUCUGUAUAAAGUGGCUUUUCUUUUUUUUUUUUUAAGAAAAUAAGCCUUAUAUAUCUCCCUUUAGUGAAAACCCUAGGCUCCAAAUAAUGCCCUAAAUAAAACUCACGUUACUUUUCAUUUAAUAGGAGACCCACCAUGUAAAAUAACAUAAGGCCCAUUACACAUAAGCUAAUUAAAUGGAGCCUCCCACUAAAUGAUAUAUUUAGGCUUUUGACCCAAAUAGCUAGUUAUCUUGCUUAUUAGUCCAGUAGUGGUGCAGUCAAUUAAAUGAGCUAACCCGGGGAUUAUUGGGAACAUACAAUAGUGGCUAUAACAAUUAAGUCUGUAAUUAAACUAGCCUAAUUAUUUAAUUCCAAAUCUACUCCACUAAAAGAUUGGAACUGACUUCCAUAAUUGUAUGCUCGAAUAAUAAUUCGUCCCAAGCCACAUUGAUUUCUUUACUGCACAAUCUUUUGUACCACAUCGUUAAUUAAAUUGAUAUCUCAACUGUCCAAUCAAUUUAAUAACAUCUUAUUCCUUGAUCCUUACUGGUUUUCUCUAAUGAUCAUUUUCAACAUACUAAAUAGUUGACACACUCUGGCCAGAGAAUUCUAUGAUCAAAGUACCGAAAACCUAUCAAGAGAUGUGUUGUACAAAUUCUAUAUUGUUAAUCCAUAACUCCAAUACUCAUAAUUGCUCCCACCAAGAUACCGGGUAAUCUUGACCACAAGGAUGUGUCGUGCCCAUUGGUAACUCAAAUGAAAAUAACAAUUACAAUCAUGAAAUCAUAAUUAACUCAAGAUUAAGAUUACAGUAAAAUCAACGCCUAUGAGAUUUAAUAAGUCUGACAGUUAUUACAAAGUUAAUUAAAUCUCAUAUGUGAUCCUGUUCAAUGUAGUCGUACUACAUCAAUAAAUUCAUACAUGAUUAAGACAAAUCAUUCAAUGAAUUUAUUACAGUCUAUACCUAAAUAAAGUGCCCAACUUUAUUUAUCAACUGCGAACUAAAUUUAUUUAAUCAUAAGAUAACUUGUAUUUAUGUCUUCUGUGAAUCCACAUGGUGAUCACAUAAAUACAUAUAAUAUGAUUAAAUGGACUUUAAUACAAAUAUUAAUGCAAUUAAGAUAUUUGAAUAAAAUACCUCAUUUAUUUUAUUAAUCAGAAAAAUUGUUUAUUACAAUUAAAUAAACACAUAUGCUUUUAAAGAGCAUAAUUUCCCAACAAUCUCCCACUAGCUCUCAAAGCAUAUCUGGCAUAUUGCACAUGCUCUAGGGCUCUAAGUGCAGGUUAUAAAGGUUUCCACUAAUGGCCAUUGUAAUAAGAUCUGCCAUUUAGCAUCUAAUGCCAUUUGGGGUACUGUCAUAUAACCUUUCUACACUAUUCCCUUAAUGAUACUUCCUGUCAGUAUGUUUUGUUUCUUUUGGUUCCUUAGAUUGAGCUACUGCACCACCAUUAUCACAAAAUAGUUUAAGGGGUGCAGUUACAGCAGGCACCACCUCAAGAUCUUGUAGGAACUUGCGGAGCCUAUAUAGCUUCUUUUGCAACUUCAGAUGUAGCCACAUAUUCAGCUUCAGUUGUGGAGUCUGUGAUACAAGAUUGUUUCACACUCAUCCAACUAAUAGCUCCACUUCCUAAUGUAAACACAUAGCCGGACGUUGAUUUUCUAAAAUCCUUAUCUGACAAAAAAUCAGAAUUAGUAUAACCCACUAGAAUAAGUUCAUCACCAGAAUACACAAGCAUAUAAUUUUUAGUUCUUUUCAGAUACUUUAUAAUAUGCUUGACUGCAGUCCAGUAUUGAGGUCCAGGAUUAAAUUUAUAUCUGCUAACCAUCCCUACCGCAAAAUAGAUGUCUGGCGUAGUGCAAAGCAUGACAUACAUGAGACUUCCCACAGCUUCUGCAUAGGGAACUCGUCUCAUUCUCUUUAUCUCUUCAGAUGUUUUAGGUGAUUGAUCCUUAGAGAAUGUAAUUCCAUGUCUGAAUGGUAAUAAACCAGUCUUGGAAUUUUCCAUGCUAAAUCUAGCCAAUAUCUUAUCGAUAUAGACCGCUUGAGACAAGGCUGAAGUUUUAUUCUUCCGGUCUCGUAGUAACUUGAUACCAAGAAUAUAACUUAUCUCUCCCAGGUCUUUCAUAUCAAAUUAUUUUGCUAACCCGAUCUUUAUUAUAGUCAAUACUCCUAUAUCGUUUCCAAUCAGGAGAAUAUUGUCUACACAAAGAACUAGGAAGGCUACAAAUUUUCCCUGAAUUUUCUUGUACACACAUGGUUCAUCAAUGUUCAGAAUGAAUCCAAGUGAUUUAAUCGCUUGAUCAAAUCUGAUGUUCCAUGACCGGGAUGCUUGCUUCAAUCCAUAAAUGGAUCUCUGUAACUUACAUACCAUGUGUUCUUGGCAUUUUUUGUAUAAAUCCAUCUGGUUGCUGCAUGUAGAUGUUUUCUUCAAGAUGCCUGUUAAGAAAGGCAGUCUUGACAUCCAUUUGCCAAAUUUCAUAAUUUAGCACUGCAGCAAUGGAAAGCAGAAUCCUGAUGGAUUUAAGCAUAGCAACCGGAGAAAAUGUUUCCUCAUAAUUGAUUCCUUCUUUCUGAGUAAACCCUUCGGCUACUAAUCUUGCUUUAAAUAUUUCCACCCUUCCGUCUACUCCUCCUUUUCUCUUGUAGAUCCACUUGCACCCUAUAGGUUUUACCUCAUUUGGUGCCUCUACAAGUUCCCAGACUUUAUUGGAAUACAUAGAUUCCAUUUCUUGAUUCAUGGCCUUUUUUAAAAUUCAACAUCUCUAUCUAUUAGAGCUUCGUUGUAACUAGUGGGAUCUUAUACAUGUUCAUAUGAGAUAGCCGUAUAGGUUUCUCCCAAAAGCAUGUAUCUCGCAGGUAACCUAGUUACCCUCCCACUACGACGAGGUUCUAAAAGUGAUGGUUGUUCAAGGAUAAUCUUGUGCUGAUCAGCUGGUUGUUGCUGUUCUUCCUGUUCUAUAACAGGUGUUGAAAGCUUAGCAUCAACCUGAUCUCUUUUAUUUCUCUAGUUUUACCUUACUCUUAGGUUAUAAGUCAUUAUAUAGUCUUCCUCAAAGAAAGUAAAUAAUAUUUCUAUAAAUACAUUCUUAUCUUGAGGACUAUAAUUCAGACUUUCCCUUAUUCCUUUAAGAUACCUAAAACAUGCAAGCUUCUGAACACGAAUCCAUCUUCUCUAUCUCUGAUUCUAGUAGAAAUACUAGUAAACUCCAAAUACGAAUGUGUCUCAAACCAUGUUUGUGACUUUUUCAUAAUUUCUUGGAGUAGUAGACACCGAGAUAGAUGAAACUAAGUUCAACAAAACUUUGUAGUUUCAAAUACUAGUAUCUGGAAUCAAAAAGGUAAAUGAUAAACCACUUAGUAUAUAUAUUGUCUUAUCCAAAAGAAUCUUGUUUCUCCAUUUAAUUACACUAUUGUAUCAUAGUGUUCAUUGAUAACCAAAUAGUGCUUGAAUUCUCCAUAGAGAUAUUCUUUGUUUCGAUCAUAUCAAAGUUCUUUUAUGUUCCUGUCUAAUUGCUUCUGUCUUAUCCACGUACUCUUUUGAAUUUCAAAAGCAAUUGAAUCUUGACGCAUUUAGACAAACAUAAAUAAAAUGAAUAUUCAUCAACAAGAUUGAUAGAAUACUCAUAACCUCUUAUAACAUGUAAACUGAUUAGUCCAUAUAUAUUUGUAUGCGCUAAAUCAUCAAAUACAAUGUUAUGUUUUUAGCUCAAAAAAGAGCAUCCUUGUCAUAUUACUUUUCUAAAUAAGAUUUAUAGAGUUACAAUGAUCAAUCUUAAUAGGCCAACAAGUCUAUCAUUAAUCAUUGUCUUAAAAUCUUAUUAUAGUUUAUAUGACUUAAGCAUAAAUAUCAGAGGUGAUUUUUGGUUAGAAGAAACAUUUCUUUUCUUAGAUAAAUGCAUAUACUUUUUAUCAUUAUAUCUUACUUUGAAUAGAUCAAUGUACUUCUAUGAUAUAAAUUGUCUUUAUAAAUAACCAAAAUAAGUAAUAAACAGAGGAUCCAUAAAUAACAGUGUACUCCUGUUUAUUAAAACAAGCCACCGAAAUUAAAUUCCUCUAAUAUUUGGAAAAAUAAAGACAAAUAUCAAAACUAAAGUCUUGUAAAAUUGAUCUAGUCUUUCAAUUGAUAUAAACUAACACGUCCUCAACUGCUGUUUGAAGCUUUCUUCACUUAAUCUCUUGGUUUCCUGAAAACCAAAUAAAUGAAUUACAAAUAAGAUUAGUUAUCUCAGAAUUCAUUAUUGUAUGAAUCAAUAGAAAUCUGAACUAAUUAGGAAGCUUAAAGAUUUCCUAUACCUGAUUUUAAUAAUCUUAGGACAAUCUUUCUUCCAGUGACCCUUAUGUCCACAUUUGUAACACUUGCCUUUUGGCUUGUCACUUCUUUUAGUGGACAGUUUGCCGAUCCCAACUCUUGCUUGCUCAUUCUUGUCUUUCGACUUAAGCCUUGAAGAGAAUCCUUUUUCAGGAAGUUUUCUGCUAUUAUAAAAUUCUUCUAUAGCAUGUAGUUCGUGCAUUAAUUCAAUUACCGUCAUAUCUUUAUUGUUUAAGAUAUAACUGACCUUAAACUCUUUGAAUGUAUCAGGUAAAGAUUCAAUCAACAUGUUAAUCUUUGAUUUAUCAUUGAUUUGAACACCAUGAAUCUCUACCUCAUUCAAAUAGUCCAUCAUUUUGAGGACAUGAUCACGAACUUUUGUGCCCUCUUCCAUCUUAGUAUCCGUAAUACGUUUUAAUACUGCUUCUCUGGCAAAAUGGGUAUUUUGCCCAAACAUCUGAUGAAGACUAGCCAUAAUUUCAGUGGCUGUUUCCAUGCUCCGAUGUUUCUUAUGCAGUUCCACAGAAAUCGAAGCCAAUAUAUAGCGCUUAGCCAUUUUGUUAGCUUCGCACCAUUUCUCAUAAGGCUCCCUAUGAUUUCUAUAAUCGUAUAACGAUGGUUCAGGAGGGCAAGGCUGGGUCAACACAUAUUUGUUUCCCUUAGCAGUGAGAAUAUUAAAUAGAUUGCGUUUCCAAUCUAAAUAAUUUUCGCCAGUGAGUUCAUUUUUAACAAGGAUAAUUAAUAAUGGGUUGAUGGAAGACAUUUUCUGAAAAAACAAAAUACACAUGCAUAAAUACUUUGAAACAAUAUUCACAAUAAAUGACAAAAAUGCAAAAAACCAUAAAUGCAUUUUAAUUUAUUGUAAUGAUAAUCUAGUACCGCUUUGACAAGCUAUCCGUUGGGGAAGUCAUGUCUACACUUACUAGACCCAAUUAUCCAUUAGAUUAUUUACUUUCAUGUAGAGACAUGAUAAAUAAUUAUCGUUAUCCCUUUGGGCCUAAAUUUGUUAACAGAGCUUCGUUGGGAAGGUUAAUAACAAACUUUAGUUGAGUGUAUAACCAUUGUUUCAAUCUACGUAUUUUUCAUAUCAAUAGUCACCGUUGGGGUGAACAAUCGAUUGAAAAAUAUUUCGAUUUUAUCUUUGAAGAAGUUCAUCAAAUAAAAUAUCUAAUAUAUAUACCCUCCGAAGGGAGCAUCACCGUAUCAUGAAGUCGAGGUAUAUAUAUAAUUUUAUUAUUGAACUAACAAUGGAGCCCGUGGGAAAAAUUAUCUUGAAUUUUCCCUCUCCCACUCAAUAUUAUAAAAUUGGUUUUUCCUUUUAAAACAUACAUAUUGUUAAUUGCAUGCUUCCUAUAACAUUAUCUAGAUGAUGUCCAAUAUUAUUAAGCAUAGGCAAAUUUCAAACAAUAUAAUGAAAUUCAUAAUUAAUGAAUGACAUGUAUCAUUAUGCAUAGAGUGGCACUACCUAUUUUAUAUGACAUGUUAUCAUGGCAUGUUAUCAUCCAAAACAUAACAUAUAGAAAAAAACAAUUAAAUAAUCUUAAUUCAUGGCUUUCCUAAUAAUGAAAAAAUACAUUAACCCUAAACCUAAUCUUCAUUGGGCUUCUUGUAAAUCUCCAUCUUCCAUAAUCUUGUUUUUGUUAAUGGACUAUGAGAAAUUGGGCUUUUAAAUUUAUAAUCGGUCUAAUUUUAAUUUGGAAAGAAAAUAAAUAAAUAAUUAAAAUAAAAAUUUAUUAAAAUAAAACUUUUGGACCAAAAAUAAAUUUAAUAUAUUCAAUUUUAUCUAUGCAUUUUAAUCCAUUAAGCCCAAUUGAAAUUGGGCCUAAAACUAGGAUACAUUAAGCCCAAAACUAUUUUUGGAUUUAAACGCAAAAAAUUGAAACAUUUCUGCCUGAAGGAAAACUUAUGAAACCAUAGGGACCUUCAUGAUAAAAACCAUAAAACCCUAAAAUCAUAUUUUUCUUUCUUUCUUCCCCAGCCGCCAUCUCCACAAAGCAGUCACUGUUCAUCCAAGUCCGACACCGAUUUAGCUGCCGCCGUCAAGCCGGAAACGUACCAAACACCUCCCUCGCGCUGCACGGAAAGCUCCUGCUCGCGCUGCCUGCUACGUGUGCUGGCUGUUGCAUGCGAGCGUGCGCUAGCUGCUGCACGCACAGCGUGCGUUGCUGGCUGCGCGAGCAGCACGCGCUGGCUGCUGGCUUGCAGCGCGCGCUGCGGGCAGCGUGUGCUGUGAGCCGCGCGCUGCUGCCGCUGCGAGUGCAGCGUGCGCUUGCUGGCAGCAUGUGCUGCUGGACGCGCGCUACUUGCUGCUGGUUGCCGCUGUCAAAAUUUCCGGCCUCCGUCGCUUUGAUCUUGAAAAUCCGAGAUUAAUUUACAAAUUUCCUAGGCCAAUUUUUGGCUUACAAAAAUUCUAUAACAGUAAAAUAAAUCAAGAGGGAAACAUGAUGAUAAAAAAUCACCCCUCUUGUUACAGAUCCAAAGAAAAAAUACAACGAAAAAUAUAACCAUGAAUUAAGACAAACCAUAAACAUGCUUUAUUCAUAUAUUAAAUAAAUAAUAUACAUCUGAAUAAAUUGUGCCACUCUAAUACAUAAAUUUCAAGAAUGAUUUCAUACGAAAUUCUUAUAUAUUAAUAUGAGAUGUCUCUGAUACCAAUUGUUGGGGAAAAAUUAGGUUUUUAAAUUUUUAUAAAACCUUUUGAAGAUCGCUCUCAUAUAAUAUAUAAGAAUUUGUAUUCUAGAAAUCGUAACUUGAAAAACCGAGUUGGCUUUUUCCGCUGAAGUGAUUUAGGCUCCUAGAUCACGAUCCGCCACCACCACUCCUGUUAGAUCACGAUCUAUCACCACCACGCUUGUUAGAUCACGAUCUGUCACCAAUGAUCUUCCAGGUUAUGACUCAGGUUCGAUCUGCACUUGACGUGUGGGCGCCUUUAUCACUACCAAAGCAACUAGCACGAGAAAAUUUUUCUCUCAACAAUAGAGAGAAAAAUCUUAUUCUCUGAUCUGUAUAAAGUGACUUUUCUUUUUCUUUUAAGAAAAUAAGCCUUAUAUAUCUCCCUUUAGUGAAAACCCUAGGCUCCAAAUAAUGCCCUAAAUAAAACUCACGUUACUUUUCAUUUAAUAGGGGACCCACCAUGUAAAAUAACAUAAGGUCCCUUACACAUAAGCUAAUUAAAUGGAGCCUCCCACUAAAUGAUAUAUUUAGGCUUUUGACCCAAACAGCUAGUUAUCUUGCUUAUUAGUCCAGUAGUGGUGCAGUCAAUUAAAUGAGCUAACCCGGGGAUUAUUUGGGAACAUACAAUAGUAGCUAUAACAAUUAGGUCUGUAAUUAAACUAGCCUAAUUAUUUAAUUCCAAAUCUACUCCACUAAAAGAUUGGAACUGACUUCCAUAAUUGUAUGCUCAAAUAAUAAUUCGCCCCAAGCCACAUUGAUUUCUUUACUGCACAAUCCUUUGUACCACAUCGUUAAUUAAAUUGAUAUCUCAACUGUCCAAUCAAUUUAAUAACAUCUUAUUCCUUUAUCCUUACUGGUUUUCUCUAAUGAUCAUUUUCAACAUACUAAAUAGUUGACACACUCUGGCCAGAGAAUUCUAUGAUCAAGUACCGAAAACCUAUCAAGAGAUGUGUUGUACAAAUUCUAUAUUGUUAAUCCAUAACUCCAAUACUCAUAAUUGCUCCCACCAAGAUACCGGAUAAUCUUGACCACAAGGAUGUGUCGUGCCCAUUGGUAACUCAAAUGAAAUAACAAUUACAAUCAUGAAAUCAUAAUUAACUCAAGAUUAAGAUUACAGUAAAAUCAACGCCUAUGAGAUUUAAUAAGUCUGACAGUUAUUACAAAGUUAAUUAAAUCUCAUAUGUGAUCCUGUUCAAUGUAGUCGUACUACAUCAAUAAAUUCAUACAUGAUUAAGACAAAUCAUUCAAUGAAUUUAUUACAGUCUAUACUUAAAUAAAGUGCCCAACUUAAUUUAUCAACUGCGAACUAAAUUUAUUUAAUCAUAAGAUAACUUGUGUUUAUGUCUUCUGUGAAUCCACAUGGUGAUCACAUAAAUACAUAUAAUAUGAUUAAAUGGACUUUAAUACAAAUAUUAAUGCAAUUAAGAUAUUUGAAUAAAAUACCUCAUUUAUUUUAUUAAUCAGAAAAAUUGUUUAUUACAAUUAAAUAAACACAUAUGCUUUUAAAGAGCAUAAUUUCCCAACACUUUCUUCCUCUUCUCGUUUCCUCUCGCCUGCCCCUGGUACGCCAAUUUCCAUUCUCUGGCUUUUAUUUUGGUAAUUUAUCUUUAAUUUUUGUGGGUAUCCUUCGUUUUUUUAGUUAUCAUACAUGAGUUGAGUAGUCGUAGACGAUUUUUUAUUGUUUUAAACUGAACGAAUUCUUUGUAUUUCGAAAAUGAAAUUCAUUGUUUGUGAUGUAACUUUUAAAACUGUUGAUUUGAGUUUGAAAAAUUAAUAUGCUUAAAUUUGUCUAUGUGGAUUUGAAUCAGUUAGACAAGCAGCACAGGAGAGCCAAUCGAGCGCGGAGGUGAUGCCAAUUUUAUUUCUAUAUUAAUUUAUUAGAUUAUGUAAUGUUAUAAAUUCUUUGUUCAAAAUGUAGAGCUUGGAAAUUUAGUCGAUACAUUAUGGUAAUGAAUGUAGCUUGUGUAUCUGUUCAAAUUUAUGUCUAGCUUUGCUGUUUUGGUAAUGGUUUGUUUAGUAUAAAUUGUGUUGGUUAUGAUGUUGUUUAGUGGUUUGGAUCACUCGUGCUCUUUUGGCCCCCACUAAAAUUAAUUUUUCAUCAAAUGAUAUGAAUAGUUGUUCGAUGGAAACUUAAUGGAAGAUGUGGGAGCAUCUUUAUGAGUUAAGAUUCCCUGUAGCUGAGUAUAUCCUUUGGUGCAUAAGAGUUUAAGUGAUUAUCGUCAUUGUUGAGUUAAACAAUGGGAUUAAUUUUCAUGUUCAUGUAAGGUGAUCAUCACUAAAGUUAGAGCCAUUAGGUGAUAAAUUGGUAAUUCAUUGUGUUGUUAUGUUUGUUAUACUGGGUAAAAAUCCCAGUGAUAGAAUUCAUGUUAAGCGGUUUUGGGUCUCAUUCAAUCCCAAAAGAUGGAUAAGGGGUGAGGCUUUCCCUCACACUUGUAAAAUCACCACCAUCCUAGUUCACAACCGAUAUAAGACAACCCAACAAUCUCUCCCUCACAUAUUGGGCCUUGGUUCAAAAGCAUGGACACUCAUUUUCGCUAGUAGACUGUUGGACUGAGAUGUUGAUGAAUCUUUUAGUUGAUUUUUUUUUUUUAUAAAAAGGAAAAGAUUAUGAAGAGAUAAAUACAAUAAAGAAAAAAAGAGAUCAAUAUUGCAAUAAAACAUUCAUGUAGUGAUAUUUUAUAUAAGAAUAAUUUCAUAUAGCUAUAAAAGUAAUGGUCCUAAUUUAUAUUAGGCCAAUUAUAAAUAAGAAUAAAUUUCAUGCUGUAAUAAUUUAUAAUUUUGCUAAAUCUCACCUUAAGGAGCUCACCUCCACGUAGUGUAUAUAUAUAUAUAGAAAAAAAAACGUAUGUUAUAUUACAUUAAGUGAACUUGGGGGUUGUUUAGUACCCCUCUUUAUCUGGGAUUGCAUUGUGUUAGCAAUGCAACCCCAUGUUUGGGGUACCAAAUGGCUAUAUUAGCUAAACUCCACAUAUAGUCGAGUUUAGCUAAUGCGUCCAGUUACCGCAUUAGCUUUAGCUUCCUCUUUUUUUUUUUUUUUUUAUACUUUGUAAUAAUGAUAAAUGAAUAUAAUUUUUAAUUUAAUAUUAUAUAAUAUUAUUUUUACAUUAUAAUUUUAAUAUAAAUUAAUAAAUUUAUUGUUUAAUAAUAUUAUAUUAUAUUUUAAUUUUUAUCAUAGUAAAUGUACAACUAAAAAAUGUAUUAUUUAAUUAUAUUACAUUAAUUAAUAUGUAAAAUUAUAUUAAUUAAUAUAUAUAAUUGAUUAAUUUUUAAUAAGUUAAUAUAACUAAUAAUAAAUACUUAAAUAAUAUAAUAUAAUAUAAUAUUAUUUAAUUUAUUAAAAUAAUUAAACUAGUUAUUUUUAAAUAAUUUAAUAUAACUAAUAAUAAAUAUUUAAAUUUGAAUAAAUUUGAAUAAUAUUAAUUAAAAAUUAAUAAAAUAUAUAAUUAUUAGAUUGUUUAGCACAAUUCAUUAGUAUUUUCUAAAUAUAUAAUUUAAAUUAGUCACAAAAAAUUAAUACAAUAUAGUGCAAUAUCAAAUAUAAUAUAAUUAAAAAUUAAUACAAUACAGUAUAGUACCAAACAUUAUACAACAUUAUUAUAAUACAUUACUAAUACAACACAACAUAAUGCAAUACACUUGCAUUAAAAUAAUGCAAUACAAUAUAAUAUAAUACAGCGUGCCAAACGCACUCUUGUAUCCAUAUAGUACAAAAACAACAUAAGAGAAAAAUGUUAAAGAGAACACAAAAGUUCAGAGACUUUUAAGAUAAUGUUUUAUAUUUGUAACAAGCAUGUGCUAACUUUUUUGAAACCAUGUAUAUUUAUUUUUUCCCUAAGUUACAUGCAUGUAACUUAGCAUUAGCCUCAUUUUAUUAUUAUCUAUACAUUGGAUUUGACAUGUUUCAUUAAUAAUUUAUUACUACAUCUCUAUUAAAAUAAUUGAGGUCCUGCACUUUCAUUGGAAGAUAGGAGAAAAAAAUAAUUGAUAAGAGAAGAAAACAAUUUAAAAUAAAAUUUUAAAAUAUUUAUCAUUACUUAAAAAAAUUAAUUUUCUUUUCCUAAAGUUAUUCCACAGACGGUAGUACAAAAUUAUGUGAUCACGCACGCACACAGUGAUAGGGUAAUUAUUGAAACAAAAAUGAAAUUUGUCUGUUUUCCAUUUGAAAUCUAUUACUAAUAUAAAGGAAAAGAAAAAUCUUUAAUUACUUUUUUUUUUUUUUUUCAUGUAGGGCAAGGCAAACAUCACUAUCUUGUUAAAUUAAUAUUUAAAAUUAUCCCACCAAAUGUAAUUAUAACAAAUUAAAUAAAUAUUUACUAUGAGUUCAGCAUCUGGGUUCCCACUCCAUAAAUAUGCCAGCAUUUUAAAACAAACAAGACUUAAGCGACAAAUACAAUUUUGUCAACGAGUAUAAAGGUCGCAUUAUAAGCCAAAGGAGAGCAGUUAAGGGAAGAUAAAAUAUUAUUGUAUUGAACUGGUUAUUUCUCUCUAGGGGUGGCAAAAAAGUCUGGGCUGGUUCAGGCCCGCGGGCCUAAAGCCCGGCCCGUAAGGGUGGGCCCAGAUAUUGGCCUAAAAAUUACAAAGCCCACAUAUGUGGGAUCUGGACAAGGGCUUAGCAAAAAAACCCGGACUUGGCCCGGGCUUUUUAAAUUUAUGAAUAAAAAAUAAAUUUAAUUUAAAUAAAAAAAGAAAAAACUCAAAAUAUUAAAUUAGUUUAAUUUUUUAUAUUAGUAUUUGUUAUUUUAUUAGGUUGUAUUAUUAAUAUUUUAUGUAUUGGACUAUUAUUCUAUUUAUAUAUUAGAUGAUUAUCUUUAAUUUGAAUUUUUUCUUAAUUUAAAAAAUAUUUUAUAAUUAAUUUAAAAAGCCCAAGCCCGGCCCGAGUUCGGUCCGUCCAAAUUUAAACAGGUUUUUAAAGGGCCUGGACUUCGUUUGAAUGAUGUGGGCUUGGGCCUGGGCUUUGAAAAGCCCGGCCUAAACCCGCAAAUUGCCAUCCCUAUUUCUCUCUCUUCUAUUAUUAAUUUGUUGUUAAUUAUAACCUUUGCGGGAUUUAAAAAAAAAAAGAAAAAGGCCCUUGCGUUUUCAUCAACAUUACACUGCCAAAUGUGAAAUGGAUUGAGAACCACAUGUCCUUAUUAUGCUGCCACUCCACAAAUGUUUAUUUUCCCCUCAUUCUCCUUAGAAGCCAGAGGCAGAGUCAGUCCUGUACCCCUUUACGUAUGCCUUGGACAAUAAGGCCUCCAUAAAUUAACAUAAACGAUCAGUAGAAGUAGAGCUGGCAAAAUGGGUAAUCGGGUCGUGUUUGUGUCGUGUCAAAUUUAGAUCGACUCAUACCCGACCUAUUUAAUAAUCGUGUCAAAAUAUUGAGACCCAAACCCGACACAGAAAAAUAAUCGGGUUACCUAAUAACCCGCUUAAUAUCUAUAUAUUAAACAAAAAUUACAUCAAAUAUUUACACAUUAUCAUACAUGCGUAUGCGCAUACAUACAUACAUCCAUACAUACAUACAUAAUUUAUCGAUAUUAUAAAAUAUGCAUAUCUACUAAAAUAUUACACACACUAUUGAGGUUUUAAUUAUAUAUAUGUAAAUAAUAUUAUAUAUUAAUAUUAUAAAAUAUAUAUGUCUACAAAUAUUUUAUACAGUUAUACUAUUAAAGCUCUAAAUGUAUUUAAAAGUUUAUAAAUAAAAUAUUGUGUCUAUAUUCAUCCUUUUAAAGAAUUAAAAAAAAAAGAAAAUCAUCUCUAAUAUUUGAAUUUUGAUGACAAGAAUUUACAAAUUAUUUUAAAAUAGAAAAUAUAAUUGGGUCAUUGAUCGGAUAAAUGGGUCAAGAAUUUUAACCCUAACCCGACACGGAAAAAAAUCGUAUUGACUCGGACCCGACCUAUUUAAUAAUCGUAUUAAAUUCGACGACCCAUACUCAUUUAUUAGUGUCGUAUUCGUGUCGGAUAAUCAGAUCGUGUCAAAUUCUGCCAAUUCUAAUUAGUACAAGAUGAUUUAACCACACAAUAUGUCAAAUUUACAUUUUGCAAUCAUUGAUACUUGGUGCUACAGUCAAAUUUAUAUUUAUUCAAGAUUGCGGGUUCAAUAAUUAAAUUCACAUAAAAAGAAAGAUGCAUUCACCCUUAAUGGCCCAGGAGCCAACCAAAUUCCGCGUCCGUGAAGUGAGGCACUUUUCUUAAAGUUAUUUCACAGACGGAAGUACAAAAUUCUGUGAUCAGGCACAAAGUGAUAGGGCAAUUAUUGAAACAUAAAUAAUGUCUAUUUCCCAUCCGAAAUCUGUUCUAAUAUAAAGGACAAGAAAAAGUUUUAAUUAUUAUUAUUAUUUUUCACGUAGGGCAAGGCAAACAUCACUAUCUUGUUAAAUUAACAUUUAAAAUUGUCCCACCAAAUAUAAUUAUAACAAAUUAAAUAAAUAUUUAUAUGAGUUCAGCAUCUGAGUUCCCACUCCAUAAAUAUGCCAGCAUUUUAAAACAAACAAGACUUAAGCGACAAAUACAAUUUUGUCAACGAGUGUAAAGGUCGCAUUAUAAGCCAAAGGAGAGCAGUUAAAAGGAAGAUAAAAUAUUACCGUAUUUAACUUGGUAUUUCUCUCUCUUCUACUAUUAGUUUGUUGUUAAUUAUAACCCUUUUCGGGAUUAAAAAAAGAAAAAGAAAAAGGCCUUUGCGUUUUCUAUUAGCAUGUUACAUGUUUAUUUUCUGUGUUAGUUGUGCAGAGUAUAUACUGAACACACUGGACAAAAAGGGUAAUUUGUAAUCAAUUCAUUUUUAUAAACAUAAAUAAAUAAAUAAAAUGAUGUCAAUAUAUUUGUGGAUGCCUGGCCUGGUGUUUUUUUUUUUUUUUGAAUACUGAUUAAUCAUCAUAUUACUGCAUUACACAGAUAUUUACAACUGCUAUUAUAGCAGAUAUAUUACACUGAUAUUUACAAUCAGAAAUACAUGAUUGAGACUUAUAUUAUUACAUUGAAUUCUGUGAAGUACAUGCCCAGACAAAUAAUCCCUUACAGAAGAGGGAUGUCCAUACUCCACUCGUAUUGCACGAGGGAGAGGAAAUUUUUGAAAUAUUAAACAAAUAAGCACGUUAGCCCCCACAAAUACUUUUGUGGGGGCUUGAACCACUGUCCUCACAAUGCUUGUGAGGGCAGCAGCCCACCACUCCGACCAAGGCCGAAGUGGCCCUGGCCUGGUGUUAAAAACAAUAAAUCGUGCUGAACGAGUUAGAUCUAAUUAACCUCGGAAGUAGUUACUGAACUUCAUGUGGAAAAGAAAAAAGAAAAAAAGAUAGUCGCUGAGCAAUAAAUCUACAAGUCAUCAAAAUCGUGCAAUUCUAUGGCAAGAAUUCUUUCCAGUGGGAGGAUUCUAAAACCAAGAAUUCACUGCUGAAAUUUUAUUAACUGAAAAUAGAUAACGAUUGACACAUCAGAAAAAAAGAACAAGAUGCAAUUAAAUCUAAUAAAAUUAAAAAAAAAAAAAAAAUUCAAACAUAUUAAAUCAUACUGAAACCGGGAGAGAAAGCAUUUUGGGUGGCUUGAUCCUCCCAUUGUAGCUCUUCCCACCAUUCUUUGGAUCCCUCGAUGACAACUCGACGUUCCUUCGCGCUGCUGGAAUUGAGUGGGAGCUUCUUCAGCUGUCGGCAUUCACGUACUUCAAUUUUCUUCAGCUUUGGAAAGGGCAGGGGAUUCGGGUAAACGCUCUUUAAAUUUAUUCCCCUCCAUACGGAUAGAGAUUCGAGUUGUGCGAAAAAGUUACGCUCUGACCCGAUUAUCCCUGAAAUAUCUCUCAAUUUAUCAACACUGACUAUUUCUUCCAUGUCUCCACAAAAUCCUAUAUAUAGCACCUUGAGGUUUUGAACAAAAACAAGCCACGUUAAGUCCUUCCCUCUGCAAGACCUUAGGACAACUGUGUUAAGACUGCGGAAACCAUUUCGAAAAAGUUUCUUUACCUCUUCUGGGCAGUCAAUCUUCAUCUCUUCCAAAUUACAGUAUUCAAGAUCUAACUCCUGAAGAUUCUCCAUGUAUGCUAGAUGUAAGACAUUGAACGGUGCACUUUCACAUUGGUAAACCCAUACAGAUUGCGUGAUGCUCACCAGCUUUGGAUAUUUCAAAAACUUUUGGACAGCAAGUGAACUUCGGAAGGUCCAGCUUAAAACAUUUAAACGCUUCAAACCCAGCAAUUCCUUCAUCAAAGGUUCAGCAUCAGCACAUAGAACGUUAGCUUCUUCUUCUUCUGUUACACUGCAACAACCGCACCCACGCAACCUGAGUACCUCCAAAUUUGAAAAGCCAGAUAUCAAUUGAUGUGGAAUUAUAGACAAAUUAAAUGCAUACUCCAAGUUCAAAUAUCUCAACUUCUCCAACGCCUUCAGCUCUUGCGGCAACCCAGUUAUGUCAGCCGAUGAUAGAUCAAGAUGAUGUAAUGAAACCAAACUUGAAAUCCCUGAAGGUAGUGUACUUAGGUGAAAAUUUUCACUGAGACUUAAUACUCUAAGAGACGACAUAGAUUGAAAGAAGCCGUCAGUGAUCUCCACAAUCGGAUUUUCAUCCACAAGUAAAGUUACGAGACGCGGACACGUGGGAAUUUCCGAUAGGCUUUCAAUUCCAUUUCCCAUCAGAGAUACCCGUUUGGCACCUUCCCAUUCUUCAAUCUUUGGUGCUUCGGUCAAUUUAACUCCAGCGCGAACCAGAAAGUUCUGCUCCUCCUUGUCUACCGUGCACGCUAUCCAUAAUGACAUCUCACGAAUCAUAUCGUGCAUCUUUACAUGAUCAUCGCCUUCUUCCUCCAAUAAGCAUGCUUGAAGAAGGUCAUCAAUAAAAUCGCAUCCAUCAUCAAAAUCAUAUACAAAUCCUUCACUAAUCCAGUAAUCAAUCAAUUCCCUUCUAGGAAUUUCGUAGUCUUCAGGAUAUAAACAACAAUACAGGAGACAGGAACGAAGUUCGUCCGUAGACAAACUAUCAUAGCUGAACUUUAAACGCGAAAACACCUCUUCUUUCAUACCUGAGAAUUUAGAAGCUGAUGUUGUCAUUUUGUGAAUUGCACGUUUCCAAUCUCCAACUUUCCUUUGGCUUUUCAUGGCUCGACCCACUGUUUUAAGCGCUAGCGGCAACCCACCACACUCUCUUGCCAGGGUUUCGGCUAGCUCUGGAAUACUGGUAUGACUGUCAAGAGUGGAUCUGUCGACCAUCUCCUGAAAUAAUUCCCAGGCUUUAUCAUGCGCCAAACUAUACACUUCCAACUUUUUAGCGUCCAUUUGAUCGCAAACACCAGCUGAACGAGUUGUCAAGACUAUUUUGGACCCAUCAUUUAGAUUUUGAAGAGGGACACCCAAUUGUGUUAAAUCAAUGCGCUCCCAUAUAUCAUCCAAUAACAACACAAACUUCUUUCCGCUUAAAAUUCUAGCGAUGUCCGCAGCCUUGUCUCGAAGACUUUUUUUCUCCCAGCUUGGGUCUUCUGAAAAGCCAAUCCUUUUUCCAAUGUCAUCUUGAAGUGUUGACGCAGCCGCCCAGAUAACAACAUCAAAAUUAUGCUGUUGAUGGCAGAAGUUGUUGUUGACUUGUUUUAAAAGGGUAGUUUUGCCGACUCCCCCUAUACCAUACAAGCCGAUAAUUCCCCUGUUAUUUUCCUCAUCAGUGAUACAUCGCCAAACUCGAUCCACUAGUAAUUCUUGACCAACAAUUGUUUGCGCAAGAGGUAAUUCAAUUGCUGCACCAUCUGGCGCCUUCUCAACAACGACUUCAAUUUUUUCUCCGUCCUUCCUUAAAUUGAUCACUCGAUCCGUCAACAUGACCACUUUUCUGCCGAAAUCGUAGCUUGAAGCCAAGUUUUUGGAACAGAGGCCUCCAAGGCACAAUCUAUCCAUUUCUUGAGCUUUAACUUGUUGCAGCUUCGUAAAUUCAUUUUCCAGUUUUUGCACAUCUUCAAGCCACCCUGCGACCUGGUUCGUUCGUCUGGUUCGAGGUCGUUGUUCUUCGACCUCAACCCUGGUCUUCAGAUCGUCCCUUGUUCGAGUCAAUUUGUGCAAUUCAGUCUCCAAGCCCUCAAGAUUUUUUUCGAGACCCCAUAUAUAUUUUGCUUGUUGACCAACGCAGUUUAAAGUUCGAUUAAAAAAGUCUGGUUGUAAGAAAGUUGAGAUUAAGUUACCCAUUGUCGUUCACGAAAAGAGGAAGAGAAGCGAUGGGUACAAUGAAAAGAAUUAUGCUGCUUUGGAGAGGGUUAUAUUUAGAGAAGCACAAUACCGAAAUAAAAAUAUGAUACAUUUGUUGCUUUAUAAUUCAUAUGUCAAAUAUCAAGAAUAUAAUGAUACGCUUACACGUCAUAUAAAAUUUGCAAUUCAACCCAGUAAUCACAUAGUUAAUAUUAAAUCUUAUCAUUUGUUAUCUAAGUGAUAAAUUUAUAUUGAUAAUAUAUUUUUUAGAAUAAAAAUUUUCUACCUUAACUUGGAUGAAGAUUCAAAAUAUUAAGUCAAUGAUAGAUAGAUAAAAAAUAAAAUAAAAUAAAUUUUAACAUUAAUUCCUGGAAUCUGUCACCAUUUUUUUCCCUUAGUAACAACCAUGUUCGCUUGAGAGACCACCACAACAUGAAUAAUUUCUUCUUGGUCGACCAAAUUGGCCUUAAGAGGCUUGUGAUCUCCCUUUCUAUACUUGCAUUUGAUAGCAAAAUGUCCACAAACAUAACAAUUGCCUUUUUAAGGAAUCAAACAAGACUUAAUUAGGCGAUAAACCAGUCUAUUGGCUAGAGCCACUCAAAGUUUGAAUGAAGGUAAUUUUUCUAUCAAGAGAAGAAUUGUAAUCCUUAGAAUAUUUGAGAUGAUUUUGAGUGGUGCCAUAUCAAAAUUGAUAUAUACUAAUUUUGAUAUAUAAUUAUAUGAUUAUAAAUAUAAUGAAUAAUAAUCUAAAAAAAAAUAGGCGAUAAAGUUUAUUACAUCCACGAACAUAAAGGUCACGUUCAAGUAAAUGUGACCGUUGGACGUUGACAGCCCCUAAAAAAGAACCAAAAAAAAUCUAAUUUGAUAAAACGACGUCAGGAUUCGAAAUGGUCACGGGUUAAAAAAUUUAUUGGAAGCAUAAUAUUAACGUGCGCUUGCUUCUUCCAAAACAGCAAGAGACUGAAUGCUGAGCCUCUCUGAAAAAGAAGCUGCGUUCUGUAAGACUGAAACGUUUAGCUGAGACCUUGUGUUAAUUUUUUACAACCCUAAACCCUAAACCCUAAACCACUUGCUCUUAAUUGUCACCCGCAUUACCGUAGGAAUAGGAUUUCUCUCUAUCUCAGUUUUACUAAAUUUUUAAAAAUUUAUUUUUAUGUGUCUUUUAAUUAUAGUAUAUAAAUAAAAUUUUAUUUUUUAAUUUUUUUAAUUUAUUAACUAUCAAUCAUUUUAAAUUAUUUAAUAUGAUCAGAUCAAAAGAAAAUUUUUAUCUUUUAAUUUAACUAUGUCAAUUAAUAUUACAUAUCCUAAUUUUCUUAAAUGAUGCGGCAUUUAUUAAUUAGACACUAAGAUAGCACUAUUAAUUUAUUUAUAUAUUUUAUAAAAAACUAUCAAUCACUUACAUUACAUACUAUAUUCUGAAAAAAAAAUUUGAGUUAUCUAUUAUUAUUUAAAAAGGAGGAGUAAUUUUGGUAUGCUAAGGUUAUUUCACAAACGUAAUAAAGAAAUUUGUGAUGAUGAACACAGUGAUAGGGCAAUUAUUGAAGCAGCAAUGACUUCGUCUGUUGCGCGUGGGAAAUCUAUUAGUAAUAUAAAGGAAAAUAAAAAGUACCCUAUGUCUUUUCAACUAUUAUUAUUUUUCCAAGGCGAACUAGCCAAAUAUGUAUGAUAAAUGUCCCUAAUAUUUUUUCUGUAAAUACAAAGACAAAUUAAAUUCAACUAGAACAAAAGUCUUUCACUGGAACCCAAUAGAUAAAAGACCAAAAUGAUAUCUAGACAUACCUCAUUGUAUAGCAAUGGAAGCUUACAAGUUAAAAUAGUAUUUAUAAUCUUUUGUAACUUUCAAAUUCUGCAUUGGAUUCUGCAACUCAUCAAGAUUAGCUUUUUAGAUCUCAUAUAUAUUUUAGCAUCUCCACGAAGGAAAAAUAAAAUAAAACUGCAAGAAUUGAGUCUGGUGAUAAGAAGCACGCAUGAGAAUGAUGUUACCCAUUUUUGUUAACAAAAAUUUCAAGGAAGAAAAUAAAGUGAGAAAGAAAGAAUUAUGUUUGUGAAAAUGGAAGAGAAGGUAGGAAUUGUAUUAUAAGACUGCAAUGUUAAGUGGCUUGGUUGUGUAGGUGAGACAUUUCAUCGAACUUCUUUACAUUUCCAUCAAACACCUUGUUCUUUAACCGUCUGUGACGUCCUUUAUACCCGUCCAUAGACAUUAAAUUGGCUGAUGUCAAGUGAAUUUGAGACUACAAAUGUGCAGCUCUUGCCUUAAUCUCCUUAGAAUCCUGAAGGGUGAAAACUUAUACCUUAUAGACUUAAGGUACGUUUAGGAUUGAAGUGUUAUAACUUUUAAGCUACAGUUGCUGUAAAAAAAAAAAAUUUAAAUAAUAAUUUUGAUGAAAUUAUUAAUAAUAAUAUAAUAAAUUCUCCAUUAUACAAGUGAAAAAUUAUAUCAACAUAUCUUUCAAGACACAACAAUUAGUAUUUACUAAACACUUUACUACUGUACCUUUUAAGGUACAGGUAUCCAACUUCAAUUCUAAAUGCACUCUCAUAUGUAUACCCUUUAUAUAAGGCUGAUAGAGUAAUGUAAACUAUAUUGUCCUUUUUUUCUUGUGUUAAUUGAAAUAAUUAAAACUCAAAAUUUGUAAGUGAGGCCACUUGAUUGCAGCAAAGGAGAGCAGUGAAGGGAAGAUAAAAUUUUACCGACAUUGAACUUGUUAUUUCUCUCUCUACUAUAUUGUAGUGUUUACUUUUUAGAGUGGGAGUUUGGAGUGUGGAGUGUGGAGUGUGGAUUCCUCCCACUCUCCCACUCUAGUGUUUACUUAUCUUAAAAAAGGGGGAAGUGGGAGUGGGAAUCCGUGGGUCCCACCCAAUUUUGGAGUGGGAAGUGGGAUUCCCACUCCCAUGGGGGGAGGUGGGAGUGGGAAUCCACUCCCCCCUCUUCCCAUUUUAUCCCUAUAAUUAAAUUAAUAAAUAAUAUUUAAUAAAAUAAAUAAUAUCAUAUUUAUUAAAAAUAAUAAUGAUAUCAUAUUUAUUUUAUUAAAUUUAAUAAAAUAAAAAUAAAUAAAUAUUAUAUUUAAAUUAAUAAUAUUAAACAUUAUUAAUUUUAAUAAAUAUUAAUUAAUUAUUUAAUUAAUAAUAAUAAAUAUUUUAUUCUAAAAAAAUAUUAAUUUUGUACUAUAUUAUCAAUAAUAAUAUUUCAUUUGUGUUGUUAUUAUUAAUAAUUUUUAUUCACAUAAUUUAAAUUAAAAUUAAUAAAAAAUUAUGAUUUACAUAAUUAAGAAUAUUAGUAAUUAUUAUUAAUUUAGAAAUAUAAUAAAAUAUUUAUUUUAUUUUCCAAAUAUUUUUUAUUAAUUUUUUAAUUAUAAAUUAUAAUUCUGUACAUAAGGAUAAAAUUGUAAUUUAAAACAAUUUACUCCCAAUCCAAGACAAAGUAAACAAAUAAUUAGGAUUCUGAUUGACAAUCUAUACUUUCACACCCUACUCUACACUCCUAAUCCAAGGAUUCCCACUCCUCAGGAUUCCCACUCCAAUCCAAAAAGUAAACGCAGCAUAUAUAUAUUAGCUUGUUGUUAAUUAUAAUCUUUGCAACCAAAUAAUGUAGAAUAUGUAUACGGGUGCGAAAUUUUCCAUAGGGAAUUCAGUGUUCGAUUUAAACUGCACUUUUAUAGUUUGUUCUCCAUUUACUCCUUACUUUCAGAUCUUUGUGACAAUCACAAUUUUGUCAACCAAAAUAAAGGUCGCAUUCAAGCAAAUUAAAUGUGACCUUUGGACAUUAGCAUCAACCUCUAAAGUGAUAGCAGUAACAAACAGCUCAGCACAAAUAAUUGAGGCCCUGCACUUUCAUUAGAGGAUGGGAGAAGAGAACACUUGAUUUGAUAGCAAGACGCCAAGACCAGGACAGAGACCAAGACGAAGACCGAUGAAAAGCCCUAAACAAACCAAAAAAUAAAAAUAAAAAUGCAGUUAUGAUUAUCGUCGAAUACUUCAAACAUACGACAAGUCCAAGUUUAGCUAAGGCCUAGUGUAUAAAUUUUCUACAAGCUGUUGAAUGAGAAAAUUUGUCUAAUUCUUAAGUCUUACCUGCCAAUCACAUCAUUUUAAAUUUAGUCUGUUGAGUAGAAUUUUACUUUUAUAAUUUUUAUCUCAAAAAUCUAUUUUAAAUUAUAUAAUAUUUAUUAAUUAAAUAAUAAAAUAGCAUAAUUAAUUUAUUUAAAUCCUAUAUUAAAUUAUCAAUCACUAAAUAAAUGACACAUUACAUACUAUAUUAUUUAAAAUAAAAAUUUAAAAUAUUUACCGUUACUUAAAAAAAUUAAUUUCCUUUUCCUAAAGUUAUUUCACAGACGCAAGUACAAAAUUCUGUGAUCAUGCACAAAGUGAUAGGGCAAUUAUUGAAUAAAUAUCUCACCAAAUAUAAUUAUAGCAAAUUAAAUAAAUAUUUACUAUGACUUCAGCAUCUGAGUUCCCACUCUAUAAAUAUGCCAGCAUUUUAAAACAAACAAGACUUAAGCGACAAAUACAAUUUUGUCGACGAGUAAAAAGGUCGCAUUCAAGCCAAAGGAGAAAUUCUUUCCAGUGGGAGGAUUCUAAAACCAAGAAUCCACUGCUGAAAUUUUAUUAACUGAAAAUAGAUAACGAUUGACACACCAGACAACAACAACAAGAUGCAAUUAAAUCUAAUGAAAAUUAAAAAAAGAAAAAAGAAAUACAUAUUCAAACAUAUUAAUGAAAAUCAUCCCCAAGUACGACACCGGAAGAGAAAGCAUUUUGGGUGGCUUGGUCCUCCCAUUGUAGCUCUUCCCACCAUUUUUUCGACCCCUCGAUGACAACUCGACGUUCCUUCGCGCUGCUGGAAUUGAGUGGGAGCUUCUUCAGCUGUCGGCAUUCACGUACUUCAAUUUUCUUCAGCUUUGGAAAGGGCAGGGGAUUCGGGUAAACGCUCUUUAAAUUUCUUCCCCACUUUAUGGUUAGAGAUUCGAGUUGUGCAAAAAAGUUAUGCUCUGACCCGAUUAUCUUCGAAAUAUCUCUCAAUUUAUCAACACUAAUUAUUUCUUCCGUUUCUGUACAAAAGACUAUACGCAGCUGCUUGAGAAUUUGAACAAAAACUAGCCACGUUAAGUCUUUCAUUUUUUUGCAACUCCAUAUGACAACUCUGUCGAGACUGCGGAAACCACUUUGAAAAAGUUUCUUUACCUCUUCUGUGCUGUCAGUCUUCAUCUCUUCCAAAUUACUGUCUGAAAUGCGUAACUCCUGAAGAUUCUCCAUGUAUGCUAGAUGUAAGACAUUGAACGGUGGACUUUCACAUUGGCAAACCAUUACAGAUUGAGUGAUGCUCACCAGCUUUGGAUAUUUCAAAAACUUUUGGACAGCAAGUGAACUUCGGAAGGUCCAGCUUAAAACAUUUAAAUGCUUCAAACCCAGCAAUUCCUUCAUCAAAGGUUCAGCAUCAUCACAUAGAACGUUACCUUCUAUUACGCUCCAGCGACCGCGUGAAAGCAACCUGAGUACCUCCAACUUUGAAAAGCCAGAUAUCAAUUGAUGUGGAAUUAUAGACAAAAACCGUGUAUAGUCCAAGUUCAAAUAUCUCAACUUCUCCAACGCCUUCAGCUCUUGCGGCAACCCAGUUAUGUUAGUCGAUGAUAGAUCAAGAUGAUGUAAUGAAACCAAACCUGAAAUCCCUGAAGGUAGUGUUCUUAGGGGAAAAUUUCCUCUUAGACUUAAUACUCUAAGAGAAGACAUCGAUUGAAAGAAGCCAUCAGUAAUCUCCUCAAUCCGAUUUCCACCCAGAAGUAAAGUUACGAGGCGCGGACACGUGGGAAUUUCCAAUAAGCUCCUAAUUCCAUUUCCCAUCAGAGAUACCCGUUUGGCACCUUCCCAUUCUUCAAACUUUGGUGCUUCGGUCAAUUCAACUCCAGCGCGAACCAGAAAGUUCUGCUCCUCCUUGUCUACCGUGCACGCUAUCCAUAAUGACAUCUCACGAAUCAUAUCGUGCAUCUUUACAUGAUCAUCGCCUUCUUCCUCCAAUAAGCAUGCAUGAAGAAGGUCAUCAAUAAAAUCGCAUCCACCAUCAAAAUCAUAUACAAAUCCUUCACUAAUCCAAUAAUCAAUCAAAUCCCUUUUAGGAAUUUCGUAGUCUUCAGGAUAUAAACAACAAUACAGGAGACAGGAACGAAGUUCGUCCGUAGACAAACUAUCAUAGCUGAACUUUAAACGCGAAAACACCUCUUCUUUCAUACCUGAGAAUUUAGAAGCUGAUGUUCUCAUUUUGUGAAUUGCACGUUUCCAAUCUCCAACUUUCCUUUGGCUUUUCAUGGCUCGACCCACUGUUUUAAGCGCUAGCGGCAACCCACCACACUCUCUUGCCAAGGUUUCGGCUAGCUCUGGAAUACCGGUAUGACUGUCCAGAGUGGAUCUGUCGACCAUCUCCUGAAAUAAUUCCCAGGCUUUAUCAUGCGCCAAACUAUACACUUCCACCUUUUCAGCGUCCAUUUGAUCGCAAACACCAGCUGAACGAGUUGUCAAGACUACUUUGGACCCAUCAUUUAGUUUUUGAAGAGGGACACCCAAUUCUGUUAAAUGAAUGGGUUUCCAUAUAUCAUCCAAUAACAACACAAACUUCCUUCUGCUUAAAAUGCUAGCGAUGUCCACAGCCUUGUCUUGAGGACUUUUUUUCGCCCAGCUUUGGUCUUCUGAAAAGCCAAUCCUUUUUCCAAUGUCAUCUUGAAGUGUUGACGCAGCCGCCCAGAUAACAACAUCAAAAUUAUGCUGUUGAUGGCAGAAGUUGUUGUUGACUUGUUUUAAAAGGGUAGUUUUGCCGACUCCCCCUAUACCAUACAAGCCGAUAAUUCCCCUGUUAUUUUCCUCAUCAGUGAUACAUCUCCAAACUCGAUCAAGUAAUAAUUCUUGACCAACAACUGUGUGCUCAACAGGUAAUUCAAUUGCUGCACCAUCCGGCGCCUUCUCAACAACCACUUCAAUUUUUUCUCCGUCUUUCUUUAAAUUGAUCACUCGAUCCGUCAACUCGACCACCUGAGUCCCGUAAUUGUAGCUUGAAACGAAGUUUUUGGAACAGAGGCCUCCAAGGCACAAUCUAUCGAUUUCAUGAGCUCUAACUCGUUCCAGCUCGGUAAAUUCAGUUUCCAGUUUUUGCACAUCUUCAAGCCACCCUGCGACCUGGUUCGUUCGUCUGGUUCGAGGUCGUUGUUCUUCGACCUCAACCUUGGUCUUCAGAUCGUCCCUUGCUCGAGUCAAUUUGUGCAAUUCAGUCUCCAAGACCCGAAGGUUUUUUUCGAGACCCCAUACAUAAUUUGCUUGUUCACCAACGCAGUUUGAAGUUCGAUCAAAUAAGUCUGCUGGUAAGAAGGUUGAGAUUAGGUUACCCAUUGUCGUUGACGAAAAGAGGAAGAGAAGCAACGAGUACAAUGAAAAGAAUUAAGCUAAUUUUUACUUAAAUUCUUAAGAAUUGCUGUCAAAUGCAAACAGAGUAUGAGAAUCAGGUCUUUAUUGAUUAUGAUGACUUGAAUGAAAAUGAAAUACAGAGCUUUGCUAGUUUACAUACAGAGACAAAAAAUAAUGACAGCUAGCCUAAGGGGUAUUACACGGAAGUAAUCAAAAUUGAUCCGUGAAUAUAGCAAUUGUGAACCAAUCACAUUAAGCUUCUAGAAGAUGCAACUAUUCAAUGCACAUGCGCUGCUAUUCUUCAACAUAACAGUUUUGCCAGCUCAACAAAUCCAACUCACAGAAUCAAGGUCAACCGUUGACUCUUCACAGCUGCUGCUUUCAACAAUUUUUAGAGAACCACAACACCAAAAUAAAAAUAUGAUACAUUUGUUGCUUUAUUCAUUAUGUCAAAUAUCAAGAAUAUAAUGAUACGUUUGCACGUCAUAUAAAAUUUGUAUUUCAACCAAGUAAUCACAUAGUUAAUAUUAAAUCUUAUCAUUUGUUAUCUAAGUGAUAAAUUUAUAUUGACAAUAUAUUAUUUAGAAUAAAAAUUUUCUACCUUAGGUUUGGAUGAAGAUCCAAAAUAUUAAGUCAAUGAUAGAUAGAUAAAAAAUAAAAUAAAAUAAAUUUUAACAUUAAUUUUUUAUUUAAUAAAAAGUAAAUUCAAUACAGAAUUCUAAUCCCUUAAUCUCUCUCCAUCCACGGCAAAAGAAAGCAGCAACUCAACUCUCUUUAAAGGCUAUGGAGGUUCUCUUGCGACCUCUCUUCAGCAUACCCUCCAGAACAUUAACCCCACCACCGCCAUCACCACCCUGUUAAACACGUUUUCAAAACGUGUAUAAUGUGGCCAUCUAAUUUAUUUUUAAUUAUUAGUUUUCUAAUUUAAAUUGAUAUUUAUCUUUAUUUAGUUUACUUUUAAAACGUUGGGUUUGGUUUAAAAUUUGAAUAAAGAUAAAACAUCUCUUCCUAAUAUCUCUCAUACACGUUACGGGUGGUUUACUAAAAUCAAGGGGAUAACGGCUCAUAACUUCCUCUUUUAUUUAAACUUGUCAUCUUGAUGGGAGAUGUUUUACGGUCACGUUUUUUCAAGAAAAAUAUUGAGGGUCCCUGGUCUAACAACAGAGCCUGUGUAUACCAUCUACUCUCAGGAAUUAAGUGUUGGAUAGACUAGAAAAUUCUGAGUACAAAGCAUGGCUUGUUUUCGUUGGUUUUGUUUGCAUUCCAGUAGAAAGGUUGUGUACAAUUGAAUUUGAUAACUAUGGCAGGAGGUAAGUUUUCUAACUUGUGCAUGAUGAAUAUAGUCUUUUACACCCCACCAAUCAUCUCACUCUCAAAACUCUCCAUUUUUGCCUCCAUUAAUUCCCACUCUCUCCAAAACCCUGAUUUCUUCCUCUUCUCGUUUCCUCUCGCCCGCCCCUGGUACGCCAAUUUCCAUUCUCUCGCUCUUUUUUUUGGCAAUUUUGGCUUGAGUUUUUUGGGUUUUUGGUAAUUUAUCUUUAAUUUUUGUGGGUAUCCUUCGUUUUUUUAGUUAUCAUACAUGAGUUGAGUAGUCGUAGACGAUUUUUUAUUGUUUUAAACUGAACGGAUUCUUUGUAUUUCGAAAAUGAAAUUCAUUGUUUGUGAAGUAACUUUUAAAGCUGUUGAGUUGAGUUUGAAAACUUAAUGUGCUUAAAUUUAUCUAUGUGGAUUUGAAUCAGUUAGACAAGCAGCACAGGAGAGCCAAUCGAGCGCGGAGGUGAAUGCCGAUAGAAGAGAAUGGUUUAUGCAAGGUACAUUAAUAGUAAUUUGAUCUGAUGCCAAUUUUAUUUCUAUAUUAAUUUAUUAGAUUAUGUAAUGUUAUAAAUUCUUUGUUCAAAAUGUAGAGCUUGGAAAUUUAGUCGGUACAUUAUGGUAAUGAAUGUAGCUUGUGUAUCUGUUCAAAUUUAUGUCUAGCUUUGCUGUUUUGGUAAUGGUUUGUUUAGUAUAAAUUUUGUGUUGGUUAUGAUGUUGUUUAGUGGUUUGGAUCAC